UAAUUGUCAUUCAUGGCAUGGUAUUCCUUUUACUGUAUACGACAGGUUGCUUAGAACAAUAUAGUGAAAUGCAAAAAAGAGUGUAAUCAGUCUGUCCUAGAUGGAGGCAAAACCAGAACAUGUUCUGGUUCUGUCCAUAUGUGAUCAUAUUUAACAUACGACAAGUUGCAUUGUUCUUGUUGCUAGAGCUUUCAAGAGGUGACACAGGCCCUGCAGCACUACAGAUUGUGCAACCGUCUUAGAUGGCCACUAUAGCUCAGGGCCUCAUUGGCAGUUCACAAAGAGCAAUAGCUUCUCAUCCAUUAGUGUUGCUGAAAGAGCAUGAACCUUGCCCGUCUUUUUUUUAGGCUUAAGGGUUAAGGCAGGCGCUCUCUCUGCCAUUCGAUUAGAUUAGUAAGCAAAAUUAUUUACAUGGGGAUCUGAAAGGAGAUCAGAGAAAAGAAAAGGCCGAGGCCAAGGGCCAGCAACAAAAGAUCACACAUACAGAGGUUUCUUCUCCUUUUAAGAUCGAUUGCCAGCUUCUUAGCUCUCUUAUAAUCUUGUGAACUGGUAAUAUCUCGCUCAACACCAAUAUUUUGUGUUGUCCAGUGUUCAGCAUUGCAGGGAAUAAUGAACUUGAGAAGGCUGAGCAGCAACCGGCAGUUAAAGCUCUCAAAGAUAGGCUGAUAACAAAGAUUAUUAUUGUUCCUUCAAUUUACUUGCUUCGUCUUUAGUAGCUUUACUAGCUCUUUAUUGUUUUGGUUGUUAAUAUGUUCUGUUAAAAAAUAUUGACCUUGUUUAUGCAGGUUAAAGAAAUUACUGAAAAAGCUUUGCAAAUCAUUAACAACUAGGCUUGACGCCAAAAGGGUAGGAUCCUUCACAAAAUAUCUCCUACUGGUUAGUGAGGUGAAGGAUGUGUUGUACUCUGAAGAAAUCGUCUUGGGGUCAACCACAUGCCAGACUCUGAUUGACGUUCAAAGUGGAGGACCUCCAGAACUAGGCCCAGCAAUUUGAAGUUGAAACCUAAGACCUCACUUCACCGAAAACAGCUUCAGCCCGGAGGAAGGCUGCGGGAUCAUCAGAAAUCCAAACGCAGUUAACAACUAACUCGACUCCAGUCGAUGAUGACAAUGUGAUAAACUACUACACCCUCAUGAAGGAAGUGUGACAGAAUCAUAACCAGGGACAUCCAGUUGGCAUCGCAAUCCAUUUUGCAAGCCAAAAAUGGCAGCUUAUGUGUGCUCAACUAUAAUACUGAGGUUGGUGUGCUGUUAUAUGAAUGUCUACUACCUUAAUAGAGUUUGUGAGAGUUUAUAACGUCUUGACAUUGUAUAAUCCUUAAUGGUUGUAAAGAGUUGUGUGUACUCAGAAA
This is a long non-coding RNA of Triticum aestivum (bread wheat), 1351 nucleotides long. RefSeq lists it as uncharacterized. The record is from RefSeq and is a predicted model, not a curated record. The transcript is spliced from 3 exons. NCBI's taxonomy places the organism in Eukaryota, Viridiplantae, Streptophyta, Magnoliopsida, Poales, Poaceae.